This 301-nucleotide ribosomal RNA is filed under the name uncultured bacterium. Its description in RNAcentral is "partial 16S ribosomal RNA". It matches the Rfam family "Bacterial small subunit ribosomal RNA", at positions 509 to 807 of the family's 1533-position model. The record is from RNAcentral.
CAGCAGCCGCGGUAAUACGGAGGGAGCUAGCGUUGUUCGGAGUUACUGGGCGUAAAGCGCGCGUAGGCGGUUACUCAAGUCAGAGGUGAAAGCCCGGGGCUCAACCCCGGAACUGCCUUUGAAACUAGGUGACUAGAAUCUUGGAGAGGUCAGUGGAAUUCCGAGUGUAGAGGUGAAAUUCGUAGAUAUUCGGAAGAACACCAGUGGCGAAGGCGACUGACUGGACAAGUAUUGACGCUGAGGUGCGAAAGCGUGGGGAGCAAACAGGAUUAGAUACCCCCGUAGUCCCUGUCUCUUAUAC